CGUGCUGCAUCAAUGCCAAUCAUACUUGCACAUGGAACUUCUGAUGAUGUAGUGCCUUAUCGAUUUGGAGAAAAGUCUGCUCAAACACUUGCCAUGGCUGGAUUCCGACAAGUUAUGUUCAAACCAUAUGAAGGGCUUGGUCACUAUACGGUUCCUAAAGAAAUGAAUGAGGUGGUUCACUGGCUCGCCUCAAGGCUUGGUCUCGAGGGCUCGCGUUAAACACUGCACGCCAUCUUCUAAGCAUCUAUAGCGCUAUUAUACAAUGGUGUAGAAUAUUAUAUAUAAG
Molecule: non-coding RNA, 286 nt
Organism: Camelina sativa (false flax)
Lineage: Eukaryota; Viridiplantae; Streptophyta; Magnoliopsida; Brassicales; Brassicaceae
Source: RefSeq, a predicted model, not a curated record